UACGAAGGGGGCUAGCGUUGCUCGGAAUCACUGGGCGUAAAGGGCGCGUAGGCGGCUGAUCAAGUCGAGGGUGAAAGCCCGUGGCUCAACCACGGAAUGGCCUUCGAUACUGGUUGGCUUGAGACCGGAAGAGGACAGCGGAACUGCGAGUGUAGAGGUGAAAUUCGUAGAUAUUCGCAAGAACACCAGUGGCGAAGGCGGCUGUCUGGUCCGGUUCUGACGCUGAGGCGCGAAAGCGUGGGGAGCAAACAGG
RNAcentral lists this ribosomal RNA (253 nucleotides) under uncultured bacterium. Its description in RNAcentral is "partial 16S ribosomal RNA". It matches the Rfam family "Bacterial small subunit ribosomal RNA", at positions 524 to 776 of the family's 1533-position model. The record is from RNAcentral.